RNAcentral lists this ribosomal RNA (800 nucleotides) under Halobacillus sp. JSM 072021. RNAcentral describes it as "bacterial SSU rRNA". It matches the Rfam family "Bacterial small subunit ribosomal RNA", at positions 41 to 810 of the family's 1533-position model. The record is from RNAcentral. Lineage: Bacteria; Bacillati; Bacillota; Bacilli; Caryophanales; Bacillaceae.
GGGGUGCUAUACAUGCAAGUCGAGCGCGGGAAGCGAGUGGAUCCCUUCGGGGUGAAGCUCGUGGAACGAGCGGCGGACGGGUGAGUAACACGUGGGCAACCUGCCUGUAAGAUCGGAAUAACCCCGGGAAACCGGGGCUAAUGCCGGGUAAUACUUUUCUUCGCAUGAAGAUAAGUUGAAAGAUGGCUUCUCGCUAUCACUUACAGAUGGGCCCGCGGCGCAUUAGCUAGUUGGUGAGGUAACGGCUCACCAAGGCAACGAUGCGUAGCCGACCUGAGAGGGUGAUCGGCCACACUGGGACUGAGACACGGCCCAGACUCCUACGGGAGGCAGCAGUAGGGAAUCUUCCGCAAUGGACGAAAGUCUGACGGAGCAACGCCGCGUGAACGAUGAAGGUCUUCGGAUCGUAAAGUUCUGUUGUCAGGGAAGAACAAGUACCGUGCGAAUAGAGCGGUACCUUGACGGUACCUGACGAGGAAGCCCCGGCUAACUACGUGCCAGCAGCCGCGGUAAUACGUAGGGGGCAAGCGUUGUCCGGAAUUAUUGGGCGUAAAGCGCGCGCAGGCGGUUCCUUAAGUCUGAUGUGAAAGCCCACGGCUCAACCGUGGAGGGUCAUUGGAAACUGGGGAACUUGAGGACAGAAGAGGAGAGUGGAAUUCCACGUGUAGCGGUGAAAUGCGUAGAUAUGUGGAGGAACACCAGUGGCGAAGGCGACUCUCUGGUCUGUUUCUGACGCUGAGGUGCGAAAGCGUGGGUAGCAAACAGGAUUAGAUACCCUGGUAGUCCACGCCGUAAACGAU